GACGAACGCUGGCGGCGUGCUUAACACAUGCAAGUCGAACGGAAAGGCCCUGCUUUUGUGGGGUGCUCGAGUGGCGAACGGGUGAGUAACACGUGAGUAACCUGCCCUUGACUUUGGGAUAACUUCAGGAAACUGGGGCUAAUACCGGAUAGGAGCUCCUGCUGCAUGGGGGGGGUUGGAAAGUUUCGGCGGUUGGGGAUGGACUCGCGGCUUAUCAGCUUGUUGGUGGGGUAGUGGCUUACAAAGGCUUUGACGGGUAGCCGGCCUGAGAGGGUGACCGGCCACCUUGGGACUGCGGUACGGCCCAGACUCCUACGGGAGGCAGCAGUGGGGAACAUUGCACAAUGGGCGGAAGCCUGAUGCAGCAGCGCUGCGUGCGUGAUGCCGGCCUUCGGGUUGUAAACCGCUUUCGCCUGUGCCGAAGCGUGAGUGACGGUAAUUGGUCAGGAAGCCCCGGCUAACUACGUG
Molecule: ribosomal RNA, 468 nt
Filed under: uncultured bacterium
Lineage: Bacteria
Description: partial 16S ribosomal RNA
Rfam family: Bacterial small subunit ribosomal RNA
Source: RNAcentral